AGUGAACGCUGGCGGUAGGCCUAACACAUGCAAGUCGAACGGCAGCACAGUAAGAGCUUGCUCUUACGGGUGGCGAGUGGCGGACGGGUGAGGAAUACAUCGGAAUCUACUUUUUCGUGGGGGAUAACGUAGGGAAACUUACGCUAAUACCGCAUACGACCUACGGGUGAAAGCAGGGGAUCUUCGGACCUUGCGCGAGUGAAUGAGCCGAUGUCGGAUUAGCUAGGUGGCGGGGUAAAGGCCCACCAAGGCGACGAUCCGUAGCUGGUCUGAGAGGAUGAUCAGCCACACUGGAACUGAGACACGGUCCAGACUCCUACGGGAGGCAGCAGUGGGGAAUAUUGGACAAUGGGCGCAAGCCUGAUCCAGCCAUACCGCGUGGGUGAAGAAGGCCUUCGGGUUGUAAAGCCCUUUUGUUGGGAAAGAAAAGCAGCAGGUUAAUACCCCGCUGUUCUGACGGUACCCAAAGAAUAAGCACCGGCUAACUUCGUG
RNAcentral lists this ribosomal RNA (492 nucleotides) under uncultured bacterium. Its description in RNAcentral is "partial 16S ribosomal RNA". It matches the Rfam family "Bacterial small subunit ribosomal RNA", at positions 29 to 507 of the family's 1533-position model. The record is from RNAcentral.